AUAAAACCAAAUAAGACAAAUUGUUAACUACGUAAACAGAGAUGUCAUCGACGAAGUGUCAUCGCCCUUCUUCUAGCGUCCUACGUAAACCAGUAAGGCUUCUAACGCUCUUGAUCUGUCGCAUUUGGGUGUUUUAACAAUUAGCUAAAGCCCUUCUGCUCUUGCAACACAUUCUUGUAGAAGAAUAGAUUCGAACGUCAUCGCUUCAUUUUCUCCUGCCGCUUUAUUGCUUAGGUCGAGAAGAGGGACCGAAAAUUUGGUUUUAAUUAACCGAUUUUAUGUGUCCAUGUUUUUUUAUUCUUUUUUGCUAUGGAUUCAUACUUUUAGGUUUCAAAUUAUGUUUGUAACCUAAACUGUUUUCAUUUUAUGAAAUAUUUACAAUUUAGCAAAAAAAAAAAAAAAAAUCUUCUUCUACACGAGUAUGAUUAUUUUCAUCUCACUCUUUAAAAACUAAACAAUGAUACUAUCUGUUAGCUCCAGUUAACGAUGUGUCUCAAUUGGCUUAGUCAACCAGAAUUCGAGAUUAAAUAAAAAGUCAACAUAAAAUUGAAGAUUUAAAUCAUCAGAUUCAUAU
Molecule: small RNA, 574 nt
Filed under: Arabidopsis thaliana (thale cress)
Lineage: Eukaryota; Viridiplantae; Streptophyta; Magnoliopsida; Brassicales; Brassicaceae
Description: ATSL259970
Source: RNAcentral